Molecule: long non-coding RNA, 691 nt
Organism: Phyllopteryx taeniolatus (common seadragon)
Lineage: Eukaryota; Metazoa; Chordata; Actinopteri; Syngnathiformes; Syngnathidae
Exons: 5
Source: RefSeq, a predicted model, not a curated record
CAGAGUCCUUACAGCUAACUGCUCCAUACCUGUUUUGGAAACAGAUAUGGUAUCAUGAAGGACUUGAUGCAUAGCUAAAAUGAGUUCAGCACAUUAUCCUUCUCUUUAUUUAGAGUCUGUCUUGCAGAGCGUGCGAGGUGAGCCAAUAUCACAUUGCCGCAGUCCACUGGUCACGUUUGAGAAUGAGGCUCCAAGAUUGUGACAGGCACGCCGCAGCUGAAACCGGGAGGAAACCGGAGUGCCCGGAGAAAACCCACACAGGCACGGGGAGAACAUGCAAACUCCACACAGGCGGGGCCGGGGAUUGAACCCGAGUCCUCAGAACUGAAUGUCCGGAUUCAGCUCCUGCACGCUCAAGCGUGGUACACGGCCCUGACCCCAGAACACUCGGAAGAAGUGGACUUGAGCAUGGUACACUUAUGCGAAUGUAGGAGGAAGCUGGAGUGCCCGGAGAAAACGUACGCAAGCACAGCUGAGAUCAUGCAAACUGCACACUGGAAGGCCAGAGCCAAGAUUCAAACACUGAACCUCAGAACUGUGAGGCAGACGUACUAACCAGCAGGAACGCCUUGCGCGUCCUCCAGCGUGACGUCCACAGUUGACCUCAUCAAAACGUCCACCCCUGUCAUAGCUGUGUGCAACAGCGUUUCCAACCUGCAGCCCCAACGAAGGGAGUUCUUGGACGUAUUGC